This 325-nucleotide ribosomal RNA is filed under the name uncultured Bartonella sp. RNAcentral's name for it is "bacterial SSU rRNA". It matches the Rfam family "Bacterial small subunit ribosomal RNA", at positions 60 to 412 of the family's 1533-position model. The record is from RNAcentral. Lineage: Bacteria; Pseudomonadati; Pseudomonadota; Alphaproteobacteria; Hyphomicrobiales; Bartonellaceae.
AGUCGAGCGCACUCUUUUAGAGUGAGCGGCAAACGGGUGAGUAACGCGUGGGAAUCUACCCCUCUCUACGGAAUAACACAGAGAAAUUUGUGCUAAUACCGUAUACGUCCUAUUGGAGAAAGAUUUAUCGGAGAUGGAUGAGCCCGCGUUGGAUUAGCUAGUUGGUGAGGUAACGGCUCACCAAGGCGACGAUCCAUAGCUGGUCUGAGAGGAUGAUCAGCCACACUGGGACUGAGACACGGCCCAGACUCCUACGGGAGGCAGCAGUGGGGAAUAUUGGACAAUGGGGGCAACCCUGAUCCAGCCAUGCCGCGUGAGUGAUGAA